RNAcentral lists this ribosomal RNA (386 nucleotides) under uncultured bacterium. RNAcentral describes it as "bacterial SSU rRNA". It matches the Rfam family "Bacterial small subunit ribosomal RNA", at positions 427 to 793 of the family's 1533-position model. The record is from RNAcentral.
AAAGCACUUUCAGUAGGGAGGAACGGGUAGUGUAGUUAACACCUGCAUUACUUUGACGUUACCUACAGAAGAAGCACCGGCUAACUCCGUGCCAGCAGCCGCGGGUAAUACGGAGGGUGCGAGCGUUAAUCGGAAAUUACUGGGCGUAAAGCGCAUGCAGGCGGCCUGUUAAGUCAGAUGUGAAAGCCCGGGGCUUAACCUCGGAAUUGCAUUUGAAACUGGCAGGCUAGAGUCUUGUAGAGGGGGGUAGGAAUUUCAGGUGUAGCGGUGAAAUGCGUAGAGAUCUGAAGGAAUACCAGUGGCGAAGGCGGCCCCCUGGACAAAGACUGACGCUCAGAUGCGAAAGCGUAGGGGACGUCCAAACAGGAUUAGACUACCCCUGGUAG